AGAUUUUGAUCCGGGCUCAGAUUGAACGCUGGCGGCAGGCCUAACACAUGCAAGUCGAACGGUAACAUGAAACAGCUUGCCGUUUCGCUGACGAGUGGCGGACGGGUGAGUAAUGUCUGGGAAACUGCCUGAUGGAGGGGGAUAACUACUGGAAACGGUAGCUAAUACCGCGUAACGUCGCAAGACCAAAGAGGGGGACCUUCGGGCCUCUUGCCAUCAGAUGUGCCCAGAUGGGAUUAGCUAGUAGGUGGGGUAACGGCUCACCUAGGCGACGAUCCCUAGCUGGUCUGAGAGGAUGACCAGCCACACUGGAACUGAGACACGGUCCAAACUCCUACGGGAGGCAGCAGUGGGGAAUAUUGCACAAUGGGCGCAAGCCUGAUGCAGCCAUGCCGCGUGUAUGAAGAAGGCCUUCGGGUUGUAAAGUACUUUCAGCGGGGAGGAAGGGAGUAAAGUUAAUACCUUUGCUCAUUGACGUUACCCGCAGAAGAAGCACCGGCUAACUCCGUGCCAGCAGCCGCGGUAAUACGGAGGGUGCAAGCGUUAAUCGGAAUUACUGGGCGUAAAGUGCACGCAGGCGGUUUGUUAAGUCAGAUGUGAAAUCCCCGGGCUCAACCUGGGAACUGCAUCUGAUACUGGCAAGCUUGAGUCUCGUAGAGGGGGGUAGAAUUCCAGGUGUAGCGGUGAAAUGCGUAGAGAUCUGGAGGAAUACCGGUGGCGAAGGCGGCCCCCUGGACAAAGACUGACGCUCAGGUGCGAAAGCGUGGGGAGCGAACAGGAUUAGAUACCCUGGUAGUCCACGCCGUAAACGAUGUCGAUUUGGAGGUUGUGCCCUUGAGGCGUGGCUUCCGGAGCUAACGCGUUAAAUCGACCGCCUGGGGAGUACGACCGCAAGGUUGAAACUCAAAGGAAUUGACGGGGGCCCGCACAAGCGGUGGAGUAUGUGGUUUAAUUCGACGCAACGCGAAGAACCUUACCAGGUCUUGACAUUUAGGUGAAGCGGCGGAAACGUCGUGGCCGAAAGGAGCCUAAACAGGUGGUGCAUGGCUGUCGUCAGCUCGUGCCGUGAGAUGUUGGGUUAAGUCCCGCAACGAGCGCAACCCCCGCCGCAUGUUGCCAGCAGGUCAGGCUGGGCACCCAUGCGGGACCGCCGGCGUCAAGCCGGAGGAGGGCGGGGACGACGUCAAGUCAUCAUGCCCCUUAUGCCCUGGGCUGCACACGUGCUACAAUGGCCGGUACAGCGGGAUGCGAUGGCGCGAGCCGGAGCGGAUCCCUCAAAGCCGGCCCCAGUUCGGAUUGGGGGCUGCAACCCGCCCCCAUGAAGUCGGAGUUGCUAGUAAUAAAGGAUCAACAUGCCGCGGUGAAUGCGUUCCCG
This 1375-nucleotide ribosomal RNA is filed under the name human gut metagenome. RNAcentral describes it as "bacterial SSU rRNA". It matches the Rfam family "Bacterial small subunit ribosomal RNA", at positions 8 to 1376 of the family's 1533-position model. The record is from RNAcentral.